Leopardus geoffroyi (Geoffroy's cat) is the source of this 121-nucleotide long non-coding RNA. RefSeq lists it as uncharacterized. The transcript is spliced from 3 exons. Lineage: Eukaryota; Metazoa; Chordata; Mammalia; Carnivora; Felidae. The record is from RefSeq and is a predicted model, not a curated record.
UGUUUUUUUUAAAAAGUAAGCUUCAAGCCCAGUGUGGAAGCCAAUGUGGGGCUUGAACUCAUGACCCUGAGAUCAAGACCUGAGCUGAGAUUAAGAGGUGGACAUUUAACUAACCAGGCCA